This 254-nucleotide ribosomal RNA is filed under the name uncultured bacterium. Its description in RNAcentral is "partial 16S ribosomal RNA". It matches the Rfam family "Bacterial small subunit ribosomal RNA", at positions 524 to 776 of the family's 1533-position model. The record is from RNAcentral.
GUCGGAGGAUGCAAGCGUUAUCCGGAAUGAUUGGGCGUAAAGCGUCCGCAGGUGGCAGUUCAAGUCUGCUGUCAAAGACCGGGGCUUAACUUCGGAAAGGCAGUGGAAACUGAACAGCUAGAGUAUGGUAGGGGCAGAGGGAAUUCCUGGUGUAGCGGUGAAAUGCGUAGAGAUCAGGAAGAACAUCGGUGGCGAAGGCGGCAUCCUGGACCAACACUGACGCUGAGUGAGCGAAAGCCAGGGGAGCAAACGGG